This 1525-nucleotide ribosomal RNA is filed under the name Neisseria meningitidis 93003. Its description in RNAcentral is "bacterial SSU rRNA". It matches the Rfam family "Bacterial small subunit ribosomal RNA". Lineage: Bacteria; Pseudomonadati; Pseudomonadota; Betaproteobacteria; Neisseriales; Neisseriaceae. The record is from RNAcentral.
AGAGUUUGAUCCUGGCUCAGAUUGAACGCUGGCGGCAUGCUUUACACAUGCAAGUCGGACGGCAGCACGGAGAAGCUUGCUUCUUGGGUGGCGAGUGGCGAACGGGUGAGUAACAUAUCGGAACGUACCGAGUAGUGGGGGAUAACUGAUCGAAAGAUCAGCUAAUACCGCAUACGUCUUGAGAGAGAAAGCAGGGGACCUUCGGGCCUUGCGCUAUUCGAGCGGCCGAUAUCUGAUUAGCUAGUUGGUGGGGUAAAGGCCUACCAAGGCGACGAUCAGUAGCGGGUCUGAGAGGAUGAUCCGCCACACUGGGACUGAGACACGGCCCAGACUCCUACGGGAGGCAGCAGUGGGGAAUUUUGGACAAUGGGCGCAAGCCUGAUCCAGCCAUGCCGCGUGUCUGAAGAAGGCCUUCGGGUUGUAAAGGACUUUUGUCAGGGAAGAAAAGGCUGUUGCUAAUAUCAGCGGCUGAUGACGGUACCUGAAGAAUAAGCACCGGCUAACUACGUGCCAGCAGCCGCGGUAAUACGUAGGGUGCGAGCGUUAAUCGGAAUUACUGGGCGUAAAGCGGGCGCAGACGGUUACUUAAGCAGGAUGUGAAAUCCCCGGGCUCAACCCGGGAACUGCGUUCUGAACUGGGUGACUCGAGUGUGUCAGAGGGAGGUAGAAUUCCACGUGUAGCAGUGAAAUGCGUAGAGAUGUGGAGGAAUACCGAUGGCGAAGGCAGCCUCCUGGGACAACACUGACGUUCAUGCCCGAAAGCGUGGGUAGCAAACAGGAUUAGAUACCCUGGUAGUCCACGCCCUAAACGAUGUCAAUUAGCUGUUGGGCAACUUGAUUGCUUGGUAGCGUAGCUAACGCGUGAAAUUGACCGCCUGGGGAGUACGGUCGCAAGAUUAAAACUCAAAGGAAUUGACGGGGACCCGCACAAGCGGUGGAUGAUGUGGAUUAAUUCGAUGCAACGCGAAGAACCUUACCUGGUCUUGACAUGUACGGAAUCCUCGGAGACGAGGAUGCCUUGGGAGCCGUAACACAGGUGCUGCAUGGCUGUCGUCAGCUCGUGUCGUGAGAUGUUGGGUUAAGUCCCGCAACGAGCGCAACCCUUGUCAUUAGUUGCCAUCAUUCAGUUGGGCACUCUAAUGAGACUGCCGGUGACAAGCCGGAGGAAGGUGGGGAUGACGUCAAGUCCUCAUGGCCCUUAUGACCAGGGCUUCACACGUCAUACAAUGGUCGGUACAGAGGGUAGCCAAGCCGCGAGGCGGAGCCAAUCUCACAAAACCGAUCGUAGUCCGGAUUGCACUCUGCAACUCGAGUGCAUGAAGUCGGAAUCGCUAGUAAUCGCAGGUCAGCAUACUGCGGUGAAUACGUUCCCGGGUCUUGUACACACCGCCCGUCACACCAUGGGAGUGGGGGAUACCAGAAGUAGGUAGGGUAACCGCAAGGAGCCCGCUUACCACGGUAUGCUUCAUGACUGGGGUGAAGUCGUAACAAGGUAGCCGUAGGGGAACCUGCGGCUGGAUCACCU